GCAAGUCGAGGGGCAGCAUUUCUAGCUUGCUAGAAGAUGGCGACCGGCGCACGGGUGCGUAACGCGUAUACAAUCUACCCUGUACUGAGGGAUAGCCCGAAGAAAUUUGGAUUAAGACCUCAUGGUACCGCGACACCGCAUGGUGUUUCGGUUAAAGGUUACGGUACGGGAUGAGUAUGCGUCCUAUUAGCUAGAUGGUAGGGUAACGGCCUACCAUGGCUACGAUAGGUAGGGGUCCUGAGAGGGAGAUC
RNAcentral lists this ribosomal RNA (251 nucleotides) under uncultured bacterium. Its description in RNAcentral is "partial 16S ribosomal RNA". It matches the Rfam family "Bacterial small subunit ribosomal RNA", at positions 57 to 305 of the family's 1533-position model. The record is from RNAcentral.